Molecule: ribosomal RNA, 288 nt
Filed under: uncultured archaeon
Lineage: Archaea
Description: partial 16S ribosomal RNA
Rfam family: Archaeal small subunit ribosomal RNA
Source: RNAcentral
GCGCGAAAACUUUACAAUGCGGGAAACCGUGAUAAGGGAACCCCGAAUGCCCGUAAAUUCGGGCUGUUAACCUGUUUAAAAAGCAGGUGGAGAAAGGGCCGGGCAAGACCGGUGCCAGCCRCCGCGGUAAUACCGGCGGCUCGAGUGGUGGCCACUAUUACUGGGCUUAAAGCGUCCGUAGCUGGAUUGUUAAGUCUCUUGGGAAAUCUACCGGCUUAACCGAUAGGCGUUCAAGGGAUACUGGCAAUCUAGGGACCGGGAGAGGUGAGAGGUACUCCAGGGGUAGGA